This 454-nucleotide ribosomal RNA is filed under the name Streptococcus mitis. RNAcentral describes it as "bacterial SSU rRNA". It matches the Rfam family "Bacterial small subunit ribosomal RNA", at positions 28 to 468 of the family's 1533-position model. Lineage: Bacteria; Bacillati; Bacillota; Bacilli; Lactobacillales; Streptococcaceae. The record is from RNAcentral.
GACGAACGCGGGCGGCGUGCCUAAUACAUGCAAGUAGAACGCUGAAGGAGGAGCUUGCUUCUCCGGAUGAGUUGCGAACGGGUGAGUAACGCGUAGGUAACCUGCCUGGUAGCGGGGGAUAACUAUUGGAAACGAUAGCUAAUACCGCAUAAGAGUAGAUGUUGCAUGACAUUUGCUUAAAAGGUGCAAUUGCAUCACUACCAGAUGGACCUGCGUUGUAUUAGCUAGUUGGUGGGGUAACGGCUCACCAAGGCGACGAUACAUAGCCGACCUGAGAGGGUGAUCGGCCACACUGGGACUGAGACACGGCCCAGACUCCUACGGGAGGCAGCAGUAGGGAAUCUUCGGCAAUGGACGGAAGUCUGACCGAGCAACGCCGCGUGAGUGAAGAAGGUUUUCGGAUCGUAAAGCUCUGUUGUAAGAGAAGAACGAGUGUGAGAGUGGAAAGUUCACA